This 303-nucleotide ribosomal RNA is filed under the name Oxyrrhis marina. RNAcentral's name for it is "partial Bacterial small subunit ribosomal RNA". It matches the Rfam family "Bacterial small subunit ribosomal RNA", at positions 521 to 823 of the family's 1533-position model. The record is from RNAcentral. Lineage: Eukaryota; Dinophyceae; Oxyrrhinales; Oxyrrhinaceae.
UAAUACGAAGGGGGCUAGCGUUGUUCGGAAUUACUGGGCGUAAAGCGCGCGUAGGCGGUUAGUCUAGUCAGGCGUGAAAUCCCGGGGCUCAACCCCGGAACUGCGCUUGAUACUGGCUUACUAGAGGUCUGGAGAGGGUAGUGGAAUUCCAAGUGUAGAGGUGAAAUUCGUAGAUAUUGGGAAGAACACCAGCGGCGAAGGCGGCUACCUGGACAGAUACUGACGCUGAGGUGCGAAAGCGUGGGGAGCGAACAGGAUUAGAUACCCUGGUAGUCCACGCCGUAAACGAUGAGUGCUAAGUGU